AAACACAGCCAUAUCACCCUGUAGCCCAAGACUGGUUGCUCACUGAAGUUAAGCAGGGUUGAGCCUGGUCAGUACCUGGAUGGGAGACCUGAGAAAACUAGGUUGCUGC
This 109-nucleotide ribosomal RNA is filed under the name Sinocyclocheilus rhinocerous. The record is from RNAcentral. Lineage: Eukaryota; Metazoa; Chordata; Actinopteri; Cypriniformes; Cyprinidae.